AUUCCUACGGGAGGCAGCAGUGAGGAAUAUUGCGCAAUGGAGGCAACUCUGACGCAGCCAUGCCGCGUGCAGGAAGAAGGCGCUACGCGUUGUAAACUGCUUUUAACCGGGAAGAAACCCCAGGACGUGUCCUGGGUUGACGGUACCGGAGGAAUAAGCACCGGCUAACUUCGUGCCAGCAGCCGCGGUAAUAAUCUCUAGAG
Molecule: ribosomal RNA, 203 nt
Filed under: uncultured bacterium
Lineage: Bacteria
Description: partial 16S ribosomal RNA
Rfam family: Bacterial small subunit ribosomal RNA
Source: RNAcentral